UACGUAGGUGGCAAGCGUUAUCCGGAAUUAUUGGGCGUAAAGAGCGCGCAGGUGGUUAAUUAAGUCUGAUGUGAAAGCCCACGGCUUAACCGUGGAGGGUCAUUGGAAACUGGUUGACUUGAGUGCAGAAGAGGGAAGUGGAAUUCCAUGUGUAGCGGUGAAAUGCGUAGAGAUAUGGAGGAACACCAGUGGCGAAGGCGGCUUCCUGGUCUGCAACUGACACUGAGGCGCGAAAGCGCGGGGAGCAAACGGG
Molecule: ribosomal RNA, 253 nt
Filed under: uncultured bacterium
Lineage: Bacteria
Description: partial 16S ribosomal RNA
Rfam family: Bacterial small subunit ribosomal RNA
Source: RNAcentral